AUGGUUUCUUGGUUGAUCUGAGCUUUUCCUCUAUGUCUUUUUGGUACAAAGGCAACAGACAUUUUGAGUUACAUUGAAUGAUAGACGUUACCGCCUGGGAUUUUCGGCCGUCACGAUAUAUGGAACGCCGUUUGGGUCUUAAAGCACGUGGUCAAAACCAACAAUCGCAGCAGUACUGUAAUGGAUUGCUUCAUGAAUGCUGUCUCCAACGGACCAUGGAGGAGAAAACAACACUGUCUGCUUGUUGAAUACUACUUCUACAAACGAGGCUACACUUGUGGCAGCACCUAUUCCUGUGCCCCCACAUCUUCUGCACCACUUCUUGUGGCCCCCUCCACCUAUACCACUUCCUGUGGCCUCCCCUCCACCAUUCCCUGAGGCUUAUCGUCCACCUUCACCACACUCUUUUGUUGAUGUUGGUGAUGACAAUGAGACGCUGACGGAAAAGGGGCAGCUGAUGAGGGUGGUCCAUCGAGAAUCUCUCCGGCUGCUAAUGAGUGCCAUCCAUUCCUCUGGAGUCUUUGAGGGACCUGAUUGGCAAAAAUGCCUUUCUUGCAACUCUCAAGCACUCUAUGAUGGCGUAUACAAACAGGUGGGCCCCAUGACUGCUGUCUGUCUGGUACAUGGGGGUGUAGAGACACAUUUUUUCAGAGAGGCUAUACAGGCAAGUGUGUGGCCUACAACCUCCUGUGCCAGAACUGAAAGAAAUUGCGGAAUAUGACUUCAGAGAGAAGUUGGAGAAGGUAAGUAACUUUAUACUGUGAUGGAUGUUGUUACUGUUAAUUAGCACUAAGUUUGAAAAAAAAUUGGCUUGUAGUUCAUGAAUACUUUUCCACAUGGAUUUGGUUUCCUUUUGUUGGCAGUCAAUCUUUUUUAAGGGUAGUGAUAAUCAGUUUAUUGUUUUGCUAAUUUGUCCCAAAACACAGUUCAAUAAACAAUUUAAGAUCCAGUAUGCACAAACCAUUGAUGAGGCACUGGAAGCGGUCAUGUUGGGUCCAGUGUGAUUCAUUCGUACAUUGAAGAGGGAUGUCCUGGUGGAGUCAGCCACAAAGUUUUACGGGAUGCUCUUGAGUAGUGAGUUUCCAUAUAUCUAAGGAAUCUCAAGUUUAGUUAAAUUCUUCAGGGCAAAUUCAUUGACUUUUUUUACUUUAUAGAUUCAAAAAGGGUCUGGAGUAUCUAGGUUUCCUGCCUUACAUGAAUAGACACUCAAGCUUCUUCAGAGAGGUUUUCAUCUAAGCUGAGAAAUCUCUUUUGGCCAAAGACAUAGCUUCUCUCUUCAAAGCAGAGCGCUCCCCACCUGGUACCAAUCAAAGAGCGAUCGAGAGAAGAGUCAUGUUUCUGGAGGGACUGGCUUCUGGAGGUGGAAGGUUAGAUGCAAAACCAUGAUCAUUGAAGUAAUACGGCCCACAUCAGUAAAACAUCACCUAAUUACUCUCACAACUGUGGGACAGCAUUUUAUAGCCUUAUUCUUCCAUGGGCCCCCUAAGAAUGUAAUAGAUAAAUUAAAUCCCAAACUACUUUUACUUAAGAGUAUUGUUCUCCAACAAGUGUUACUUAUGGACUUUA
This 1566-nucleotide long non-coding RNA is filed under the name Salmo salar (Atlantic salmon). RNAcentral describes it as "lncRNA (ENSSSAG00000082983.1)". Lineage: Eukaryota; Metazoa; Chordata; Actinopteri; Salmoniformes; Salmonidae. The record is from RNAcentral.